RNAcentral lists this ribosomal RNA (2548 nucleotides) under Paranebalia longipes. RNAcentral's name for it is "eukaryotic LSU rRNA". It matches the Rfam family "Eukaryotic large subunit ribosomal RNA", at positions 44 to 1872 of the family's 3401-position model. Lineage: Eukaryota; Metazoa; Arthropoda; Malacostraca; Leptostraca; Paranebaliidae. The record is from RNAcentral.
UAAUAAGCGGAGGAAAAGAAACCAACCGGGAUUCCCUGAGUAACGGCGAGUGAAACGGGAUGAAGCUCAGCACCAAACGUUGCACUGCAUGAAAGAUUGCAGGAGCGAUGAUUGUGGUGUUUCAGAGGACCAUUCUUCCCGCAGUCUGGGUACGCUUAAGUCCCUUUUGAAUGAGGCCAAUAGCCAUAGAGGGUGAAAGCCCCUGUGCAGCGUUUCCUGGUCUGCGGGAGUGGUCUAUCUGUAGAGUCGGGUUGCUUGAAAGUGCAGCCCUAAGCUCGAGGUAAACUCCUCGUAAAGCUAAAUACGACCAGUAAAUCGAUAGUGCACAAGUACCGUGAGGGAAAGUUGAAAAGGACUUUGAAGAGAGAGUUCAAUAGUACGUGAAACCGUUUUAGAGUAUAAGCGGAUGGCACCCCGAAGGUCGAGUGUGGGCUAUGCUUGGCAAAGUACUUGUAAGUCGCUUGGACUCAACACGGGACUAUAAGCGAUUGUAUCCGGCACUGGGAUUUAGUUUGACGUUCACCGCUCAUUGCUCUCGGGCUUUGAUGUGAAUUCUGCUUGCCCUGAUGUCGCGUAAGAUUGCUCGUGUUGAAUUCCUCACACUUGAUCGCUGCGAACCAUCGGUUGGUUAUAAGAGCUCGGUCGUCUCAAUUCUGUCAAAGAAUUGAAAUGUGAAUACGAUGUACAUAUGCAGUUGUUUCCUUCGGGAUCUUCUGUGGACAUUGUUGAGCGGCCGAUGCAUUCUCUAUUGAUUCCAAUAGUGAAAAAUAAUCCGAUGGUUAACAAAGCAAAUGCCCUUCUGGUUUCGGCUGGAAACUAGGCAAUUUAAGACCUAGUCGUGGCGUUUUUCGGCAGCGUGUAGAUCGGUGAUCCAUCCGACCCGUCUUGAAACACGGACCAAGGAGUCUAUCAUAUGUGCGAGUCAUUGGGUGAACUAAACCCACAGGCGCAAUGAAAGUGAUUUGGGCAGAUCCUACCCGUUGUGCUCCUUUGAGUAUGGGUCAGGCGCAUGCCCGGGACUCUCAGUCUACCCUUUUGCGGUAGGAGAGUACCUUGAGCAGAUGUGAUAGUACCCGAAAGAUGGUGAACUAUGCCUGGCCAGAACGAAGCCAGAGGAAACUCUGGUGGAGGUUCGUAGCAAUUCUGACGUGCAAAUCGAUUGUCAGAGCUGGGUAUAGGGGCGAAAGACUAAUCGAACCAUCUAGUAGCUGGUUCCCUCCGAAGUUUCCCUUAGGAUAGCUGGAGCCCGGAGAAAUGAAAUUAUCGUUUUACGAAGUUUCAUCCGGUAAAGCAAAUGAUUGGAGGAAUUGGGAACGAAAAGUUCUCAACCUACUCUCAAACUUUAAAUGGGUGAGAGGCAGUGCUUUCUUAAUUGAAGCAACUGCAUUGAAUUCGAGCUCCAAGUGGGCCAUUUUUGGUAAGCAGAACUGGCGCUGUGGGAUGAACCAAACGCAGUGUUAAGGUGCCUAAUCGAAUGCUAAUUCUUAGAUAUCAUGAAAGGCGUUGGUUGCUAUAGACAGCAGGACGGUGGCCAUGGAAGUCGGAAUCCGCUAAGGAGUGUGUAACAACUCACCUGCCGAAGCAACCAGCCCUGAAAAUGGAUGGCGCCAAAGCAUUCAACCGAUACACUGCCGUCGGUGGCAUUAAGGAAGCAAUGCUUUGUUUCUCGAAGCCCCGACGAGUAGGAGGUGCGCUGCGGUGUGCGUUGAAGGUACUGGCGUGAGCUGGACUGGAGCCGCCGCUGGUGAAUAUCUUGGUGGAAGUAGCAAGUAUACAAGAGCAUACCUUGUGGCCUGACGUGGAGAAGGCUUCCAUGUGAAUAUCAGUUAGACAUGGGUGAGUCGGUCCUAAGUCCAAUGGCGCAAGCCACUUCUUCAUUGAUUGGGUGACUAAAUGAAAUUAACUUGACAUGCCACUGGAGUGUCACGAUACGAAUAUUAAUAACCCGCAGUAUACUCUUUGUUGUAAAAAAUAAAAAGGAGAGAGGAGGAGGAGGAGGAGGAGGAGGAUGAUAAGAAGUUUGNGUUNCUUNCUUCCUUCCUUCCUUCCUUCCUUCCUUUCUUUCUUUUUAUAUCAGAUACUUGCGGGAGUUACUAUUCAUACGGCUUCAGGCUCGGUUCCUUGAAUCGCACGCACUAAGCCAAGCACCCAGGAAGGAGUUUUGGACGAAAGGGGAUACGGUCAAAAUUCCGUAACAAGAUCCGGAUGAGCUGCUGGGGCUUUAAUUGCCCUCGAUGUCCAAUCUUGGGCAUGGCAGGUCCCGACCGCCCGGUAACGGGAGUAGACCCUCAGACGCCGGCGACCGUUGCAGAAAGAGUUUUCUUUUCUGUUUAAGACGGCGUGACCCUGGAAGCAAUUUGCUCGGAGAAAGGGUAGUUUUCGCCGUACAGCAUCGCGAUUUUCGUGAUGUCUGCAGCGCUGUCAGUUGGCCCUUGAAAAUGAGGUGCAGGGACAUGUCUCAUUCAAAAUGGACGAGCUAACCACUCUCCUCGAGACAUAUAUUAUUCUCGGAUCAUUCCGUACCAGAAUCCGCAUCAGGUCUCCAAGG